RNAcentral lists this long non-coding RNA (602 nucleotides) under Panax ginseng (ginseng). Its description in RNAcentral is "long non-coding RNA (PGIN_LNC012863)". The record is from RNAcentral. Lineage: Eukaryota; Viridiplantae; Streptophyta; Magnoliopsida; Apiales; Araliaceae.
UUUAAAAUAAUUUUUCAUAAUUUAUUUGGUAUUUUUAAUAAUUAAAAACUAAUUUUUCUAAUUUUUAAAUUAAUUUCCGGAAAAUCAGAAAUUAAAAUAAUUAAAACUGUCGCUAAAGGCCCCUAUAGUGACAGAACCGUCGCUAUAGGUGUUCUUGAGCCUACCCAGAUCUUCAUAAGGCAGAACCGAGUGGCCUACUUUGACCGUGAAUAACUCUCUAAUCUUAACGAAUUUGGACAAUAUAUAAAUUGGGUCUUGUAGAGAAAAUACAAGACUACAAGAUCCAACAAAUAUGACCUCUAAAAAAUAUCAGAUCCGGGAGAAAUCGAACCUCAAAGUAGCUGCCAAAGCUGUUCUUCACGAAAAACAGCUUCGAGGUGCCUACUUUGGACCUCUAUAACUUGGUUAUCGUGUAACAUUUUUGUUCUCUAUCACUUUCAGUGUGUCGACAACAUGUAGGAAUACAACUUCAAACCUUAACAUCAACAUAAUACCAUCAUAUCUAACCAGAAAUACCCAGUCAAAGUGCACCACGGAAAUUGUGCACAAAAUUUCUGGAUUCGCGAUUUUGGCAGUUUUGGUCAACGGGGUUUUGACCGUUU